UCGCCCCGGGAUGAACCUAAGCGAGAUUAGCUUGUUGGUGAGGUAACGGCUCACCAAGGCGACGAUCUCUAGCUGUUCUGAGAGGAAGAUCAGCCACACUGGGACUGAGACACGGCCCAGACUCCUACGGGAGGCAGCAGUGGGGAAUAUUGCACAAUGGGGGAAACCCUGAUGCAGCCAUGCCGCGUGUGUGAAGAAGGCCUUAGGGUUGUAAAGCACUUUCAGUUGUGA
Molecule: ribosomal RNA, 231 nt
Filed under: Skeletonema japonicum
Lineage: Eukaryota; Bacillariophyta; Thalassiosirophyceae; Thalassiosirales; Thalassiosiraceae
Description: partial Bacterial small subunit ribosomal RNA
Rfam family: Bacterial small subunit ribosomal RNA
Source: RNAcentral